Molecule: ribosomal RNA, 253 nt
Filed under: uncultured bacterium
Lineage: Bacteria
Description: partial 16S ribosomal RNA
Rfam family: Bacterial small subunit ribosomal RNA
Source: RNAcentral
GACAGAGGGUGCAAGCGUUGUUCGGAAUCACUGGGCGUAAAGUGCGUCUAGGCGGAAAGGUUAGUCCGAUGUGAAAGCCCGGGGCUCAACCCCGGAAGUGCAUCGGAAACUGCUUUUCUUGAGUUUCGGAGAGGGUGGUGGAAUUCCCAGUGUAGAGGUGAAAUUCGUAGAUAUUGGGAGGAACACCGGUGGCGAAGGCGACCACCUGGACGAUGACUGACGCUGAAGCGCGAAAGCGUGGGGAGCAAACAGG